GAGAGGCCCAAACGUUAUUCGGAUUUACUGGGCUUAAAGAGUUCGUAGGCGGUGCGGUAAGUGGGGUGUGAAAGCCCUCGGCUCAACCGAGGAACUGCGCUCCAAACUACCACACUCGAGGGAGAUAGAGGUGAGCAGAACUGAUGGUGGAGCGGUGAAAUGCGUUGAUAUCAUCAGGAAUACCGGAGGCGAAGGCGGCUCACUGGGUCUCUUCUGACGCUGAGGAACGAAAGCUAGGGGAGCAAACGGGAUUAGAUACCCCGGUAGUCCUAGCCGUAAACGGUGAGCACUGGACCGGAGGGCUGCACAGCUUUUCGGUCGUAGCGAAAGUGUUAAGUGCUCCGCCUGGGGAGUAUGGUCGCAAGGCUG
This 369-nucleotide ribosomal RNA is filed under the name uncultured bacterium. Its description in RNAcentral is "bacterial SSU rRNA". It matches the Rfam family "Bacterial small subunit ribosomal RNA", at positions 527 to 896 of the family's 1533-position model. The record is from RNAcentral.